Molecule: ribosomal RNA, 449 nt
Filed under: uncultured bacterium
Lineage: Bacteria
Description: partial 16S ribosomal RNA
Rfam family: Bacterial small subunit ribosomal RNA
Source: RNAcentral
AACGAACGCUGGCGGCAUGCCUAACACAUGCAAGUCGAACGAGAUCUUCGGGUCUAGUGGCGCACGGGUGCGUAACGCGUGGGAAUCUGCCCUUUGGUUCGGAAUAACAGUUGGAAACGACUGCUAAUACCGGAUGAUGACGAAAGUCCAAAGAUUUAUCGCCAGAGGAUGAGCCCGCGUAGGAUUAGCUAGUUGGUGUGGUAAAGGCGAACCAAGGCGACGUUCCUUAGCUGGUCUGAGAGGAUGAUCAGCCACACUGGGACUGAGACACGGCCCAGACUCCUACGGGAGGCAGCAGUGGGGAAUAUUGGACAAUGGGCGAAAGCCUGAUCCAGCAAUGCCGCGUGAGUGAUGAAGGCCUUAGGGUUGUAAAGCUCUUUUACCCGGGAUGAUAAUGACAGUACCGGGAGAAUAAGCUCCGGCUAACUCCGUGCCAGCAGCCGCAGUAA